Molecule: long non-coding RNA, 296 nt
Filed under: Triticum aestivum (bread wheat)
Lineage: Eukaryota; Viridiplantae; Streptophyta; Magnoliopsida; Poales; Poaceae
Description: long non-coding RNA (TAES_LNC009851)
Source: RNAcentral
AAUAUAUAGAUCCAGCAAGCAACACAUGCGUACAUAUGCAACAAGAGUUCGCAAAAGAAAGGACCAUAAGUUCCAAGUCCAUACAUGCGUAUAUGUCUAACGAAGGUUCACAACAACAUGCAUACAUAUCCAACAAGGUUCACAACAACAUGCGUGCAUAUCCAACAAGGCUCACAAACAAAAGCAUGAGUUCCAAGUUCACACCAAGCAUGAACCUCAAAGAUGCAAUGAGCUCCACCGUAGCAUGUAUGCCCACCAUCAAUGGCAUCCACAAUGCAAACCUAUAAGUCCAUUAC